GGAAAUAUGGAUUACUCGGCGAGCCAUUCCGGAAGACGGGACGGGAAGGAACCAGUUUGCGAUCAAGGAAGCCGUUAGUGUUUGGUGUUUUACUUUCCGUGGGAGGUUGCCUCCAUAUCUAAUGGAACUGGCAACAAACAUAUUCUGAUCUGAUCCUGCCGGAAACCAUGCGUCCCCGUGUGGUCUCGCGUGGCUUCCGUAGAACCCAAGGAAGCAGCCUCUCGUACUCCGGUAAACAUCAAUCCGUCGGAGGUUCAAGAUCGUCGCCAAGGUGUCGCAUCCGGGUUUUGAUCAGCGCGUCGAGGAGCAAAAGUCCAACACGGCCAAGAUGCUGCCACGGCCACCUCCAACAUCCAAGCCGGAAGCUGCGGUCAAGGCAAAU
Culex pipiens pallens (northern house mosquito) is the source of this 382-nucleotide long non-coding RNA. RefSeq lists it as uncharacterized. The record is from RefSeq and is a predicted model, not a curated record. NCBI's taxonomy places the organism in Eukaryota, Metazoa, Arthropoda, Insecta, Diptera, Culicidae. The transcript is spliced from 2 exons.